RNAcentral lists this ribosomal RNA (494 nucleotides) under fungal endophyte. Its description in RNAcentral is "eukaryotic LSU rRNA". The stretch from base 177 to 330 matches the Rfam family "5.8S ribosomal RNA". The record is from RNAcentral. Lineage: Eukaryota; Fungi.
AUUACUGAGUUUACGCUCUAUAACCCUUUGUGAACAUACCUAUAACUGUUGCUUCGGCGGGUAGGGUCUCCGCGACCCUCCCGGCCUCCCGCCUCCGGGCGGGUCGGCGCCCGCCGGAGGAUAACCAAACUCUGAUUUAACGACGUUUCUUCUGAGUGGUACAAGCAAAUAAUCAAAACUUUUAACAACGGAUCUCUUGGUUCUGGCAUCGAUGAAGAACGCAGCGAAAUGCGAUAAGUAAUGUGAAUUGCAGAAUUCAGUGAAUCAUCGAAUCUUUGAACGCACAUUGCGCCCGCCAGCAUUCUGGCGGGCAUGCCUGUUCGAGCGUCAUUUCAACCCUCAAGCUCUGCUUGGUGUUGGGGCCCUACAGCUGAUGUAGGCCCUCAAAGGUAGUGGCGGACCCUCCCGGAGCCUCCUUUGCGUAGUAACUUUACGUCUCGCACUGGGAUCCGGAGGGACUCUUGCCGUAAAACCCCCCAAUUUUCCAAAGGUGA